This 1291-nucleotide long non-coding RNA is filed under the name Cyanistes caeruleus (blue tit). RNAcentral describes it as "lncRNA (ENSCCEG00000018506.1)". Lineage: Eukaryota; Metazoa; Chordata; Aves; Passeriformes; Paridae. The record is from RNAcentral.
CACGGACCUCUGGGUAAAGCCUCUCGAAUCCUUGGGGAGGUAGUGGGGAAGAAUAUGCAAAGAAGGAAGAAUCCCUCCCCUGUGGACAGACAUCUCUGCAAUGCUUCCAGAAUGGGAAGCAACCAGAGAUGUGCUGCUCCCCGCACCCUGCGGCUCAGCUCCAGCACAGCCCUGCGGGGAACCCUGAAAUUGGAGCUGUCUGAGCAAAUUCAGGACACUGGAGGUAAAACCAGAAUGAAGCAUCAGGGCAGGAGCAAAAGAAAAACAAGUUCUCCACACCCUCUGAGCUGAGGAGGCUGGGAAUGGAGGUGGGUUAAUACUCCCAGAGUGGAGUGUCAUCCCAAGCUCCACAUCAACUAGAGCAAAACUUGACUCAGUGUUUAACCCAGCUAAACCCUGGCUGUGGACUGAGUCAUUAGGAGAACCAGGAAUUGCCUGCCAAAACCCCAAACCACACUUCUCAAACUCCAGGAGUUAUAUAUAUAUAUAUAUAUAUAUAUUUAUAUAUAUAUUUUAACUGUUGCCUCUGCCUGUUGCCAGUGCAGCUCCACGACACACAAAGCUUUCAUGGAUCACACUGAGCCAAGGACACCCAUACAUCUCUGCAAUUUUAUUGGGUUCUGAAGAAAACCAAAUCUUUGCAAACAGAGGGAUCUAUUUCAGUGAAAUAUCUCUAAAACCCUGGGGUUUUAGGUGUUGUAGUAAGGAGGGUUGGGCUUGACUGAGAGACAAAUCAUACUUUGAAGGAUGCGGGACGAUGGGGACGUCACUGCUUCUGUCUCCUGAAAAUAGGUUUGUCUGUUUCUAAAGGAAUGCUGGGAGCCCCUGAAAAUGAUCAGGAAAGGUUGCAGGAGUAAGGGAGGGUGAUAGUGGAGGAGGCAGAAUCAAAAUUUAUUCAGAAUGUGCUGACAUUUUGCUGUUGAUAUCAGGACAAAGCCUGGCUCAAGCACUGAUGUUUCCCAGAUGUACAGAGGUGACAGCAAAAAGCUGAGAAGGAGAAGAUCUGGUGAAAGAGCACUCACAGCAGUGAGCUGCUCCCCAUCCAUACCUGGGACAGGAGGAAACCAGGGAAGGGAUGAACUACCAGAGCUCUGUGAUACAAAAUACAGCAGGAAAGAACUGAGAAGAACCUAAGCUGAGAGAAAGGAAACUGGAGGUUCUUUAUUGCAGGAGUAGGGUGGUGUCAGCAGGGCACAGGGAUCUCUUGAGCUCCAACCAACACACAAAUGGCCUGUGGCUUCUGUGUGGGACUUUGAGGGACCCAGGUUGGCUCCAGGCUCCCAGUGAGAUC